Molecule: transfer RNA, 76 nt
Filed under: Caproiciproducens galactitolivorans
Lineage: Bacteria; Bacillati; Bacillota; Clostridia; Eubacteriales; Acutalibacteraceae
Also listed under: 3 other names
Description: tRNA-Ala
Rfam family: tRNA
About the family: Transfer RNA (tRNA) molecules are approximately 80 nucleotides in length. Their secondary structure includes four short double-helical elements and three loops (D, anti-codon, and T loops).
Source: RNAcentral
GGGCUCGUAGCUCAGCUGGGAGAGCGCCGCGUUCGCAACGCGGAGGUCGACGGUUCGAUCCCGUUCGGGUCCACCA